This 484-nucleotide ribosomal RNA is filed under the name uncultured bacterium. RNAcentral's name for it is "partial 16S ribosomal RNA". It matches the Rfam family "Bacterial small subunit ribosomal RNA", at positions 30 to 507 of the family's 1533-position model. The record is from RNAcentral.
AUUGAACGCUGGCGGCAGGCCUAACACAUGCAAGUCGAGCGGAUGAAGGGAGCUUGCUCCUGGAUUCAGCGGCGGACGGGUGAGUAAUGCCUAGGAAUCUGCCUGGUAGUGGGGGAUAACGUCCGGAAACGGGCGCUAAUACCGCAUACGUCCUGAGGGAGAAAGUGGGGGAUCUUCGGACCUCACGCUAUCAGAUGAGCCUAGGUCGGAUUAGCUAGUUGGUGGGGUAAAGGCCUACCAAGGCGACGAUCCGUAACUGGUCUGAGAGGAUGAUCAGUCACACUGGAACUGAGACACGGUCCAGACUCCUACGGGAGGCAGCCGUGGGGAAUAUUGGACAAUAGGCGAAAGCCUGAUCCAGCCAUGCCGCGUGUGUGAAGAAGGUCUUCGGAUUGUAAAGCACUUUAAGUUGGGAGGAAGGGCAGUAAGUUAAUACCUUGCUGUUUUGACGUUACCAACAGAAUAAGCACCGGCUAACUUCGUG